CCUGGUGGAUCAGAUGGUAAAGAAUCUGCCUGCAAUGUAGGAGACCUGGGUUCGAUCCUUGCAUUGGGA
This 69-nucleotide transfer RNA is filed under the name Ovis aries (sheep). It matches the Rfam family "tRNA". From Rfam's summary of the family: Transfer RNA (tRNA) molecules are approximately 80 nucleotides in length. Lineage: Eukaryota; Metazoa; Chordata; Mammalia; Artiodactyla; Bovidae. The record is from Rfam by way of RNAcentral.